UUUCCGUAGGUGAACCUGCGGAAGGAUCAUUGUCGAAACCUGCCCAGCAGAACGACCCGCGAACUUGUAUAAACAACUGGGGGCGGGGGGCGUUCUCGCCCCGUGCCCCCGAACGGCGGGGAGACACUCGUGCCUUCUUGCCGAACAACGAACCCCGGCGCGGUCUGCGCCAAGGAACUUCAACUAAAGAGUGCCUCCGGUCGCCUCGGAAACGGCGUGCGUGCCGGAGGCGAAUCUUGUGCAAAACCAUAACGACUCUCGGCAACGGAUAUCUCGGCUCUCGCAUCGAUGAGAACGCAGC
Molecule: unclassified non-coding RNA, 301 nt
Filed under: plant metagenome
Description: partial contains small subunit ribosomal RNA, internal transcribed spacer 1, and 5.8S ribosomal RNA
Source: RNAcentral